Molecule: ribosomal RNA, 466 nt
Filed under: uncultured beta proteobacterium
Lineage: Bacteria; Pseudomonadati; Pseudomonadota; Betaproteobacteria
Description: bacterial SSU rRNA
Rfam family: Bacterial small subunit ribosomal RNA
Source: RNAcentral
GGAGGAAAGCAGGGGAUCGCAAGACCUUGCGCUUUUGGAGCGGCCGAUGCCUGAUUAGCUUGUUGGUGAGGUAAAGGCUUACCAAGGCUUCGAUCAGUAGCUGGUCUGAGAGGACGACCAGCCACACUGGGACUGAGACACGGCCCAGACUCCUACGGGAGGCAGCAGUGGGGAAUUUUGGACAAUGGGGGCAACCCUGAUCCAGCCAUGCCGCGUGAGUGAAGAAGGCCUUCGGGUUGUAAAGCUCUUUCAGCCGGAACGAAACAGUUACGAUUAAUACCCGUAACUACUGACGGUACCGGAAGAAGAAGCACCGGCUAACUACGUGCCAGCAGCCGCGGUAAUACGUAGGGUGCGAGCGUUAAUCGGAAUUACUGGGCGUAAAGCGUGCGCAGGUGGUUUUGUAAGUCAGAUGUGAAAUCCCCGGGCUUAACCUGGGAACUGCGUUUGAAACUACAAAGCUAGA